This 215-nucleotide ribosomal RNA is filed under the name uncultured bacterium. RNAcentral describes it as "partial 16S ribosomal RNA". It matches the Rfam family "Bacterial small subunit ribosomal RNA", at positions 102 to 334 of the family's 1533-position model. The record is from RNAcentral.
ACGGGUGAGUAACACGUGGGAACAUACCCUUCGGUUCGGGAUAACUCAGGGAAGCUUGAGCUAAUACCGGAUACGUCCGCGAGGAGAAAGAUUCAUCGCCGGAGGAUUGGCCCGCGUCUGAUUAGCUUGUUGGUGAGGUAAUGGCUCACCAAGGCGACGAUCAGUAGCUGGUCUGAGAGGAUGAUCAGCCACAUUGGGACUGAGACACGGCCCAA